ACACAAUAAUUGUUUGUUUCUCUAAUUGUAAUAAUCGACUACUACUUAUUUAUACUAUUAUACCUAGUACCCACCCACACAAACACACCACAUAUAGAGGAAUUGGCCAUAAAACAAGUCAACAACAACCUAAAAGGAAAAGAUGGAUCUAGAAAUUGAAGAAAAACCGCUUAAACUGUACUUCAUUCCAUAUCUAGCACCUGGUCAUAUGAUCCCUCUAUGCGACAUAGCAAUUCAAUUCGCUGCACGCCGUCAUCACGUAACCAUCAUCACCACUCCCUUCAACGCCCAAAUCCUUACCAAAUCCCUCUCUUUCAACCAAAACCUUCGUCUUCACACCGUUUCUUUUCCCUCUCAAGAAGUCGGCCUCCCCGAUGGCGUCGAAAAUCUCUCCGCCGCCACAAACCUCGACAACCUAACCAAGAUCUACCAUGCAACCACUCUACUCCGACCACCCAUCCAACACUUCGUCGAACAGCACCCACCUGAUUGCAUCGUAGCAGAUUUCUUGUUCCCGUGGGUAGAUGAACUUGCAAACAAGCUUCGUAUCACAAGACUCGCCUUCAACGGUUUCUCUCUCUUUGCUAUCUGCGCCAUUGAAUCUGUUAAAGCAAACUCACACUAUGACUCUGCUUCUUUUCUCAUUCACGAUCUACCUCAUCCAAUUUCCAUGAACGCAGCACCGCCAAAGAAAAUGCACGAGUUAUUGGUAACGUUGUUUGAAACAGUUUUCAAAAGUAACGGAAUCGUCGUCAACAAUUUCGUUGAACUCGACGGUGAAGAGUACAUUAAGCACUACGAGAAAACCACUGGUCACAAAGCGUGGCAUCUCGGUCCAGCUUCUCUUAUUCGUAAAACGGAUCAAGAGAAAGCAGAGAGGGGAGAAGAGAGUGUGGUGAGCGUGCAUGAGUGUCUGAGUUGGCUCAAUUCGAAACGAGUUAACUCAGUGAUAUACAUAGGUUUCGGAAGUCUGUGCCAUUUUCCUGAUAAACAGUUAUAUGAGAUUGCGUGCGGGAUUGAAGCAUCGGGUUACGAAUUCGUGUGGGUAGUUCCUGAGAAGAAAGGGAAAGAAUACGAAAGCGAAGAAGAGAAAGAAAAGUGGUUGCCGAAGGGAUUCGAAGAGAGAAACAGUGAGAAAGGUUUGAUAGUUAGGGGAUGGGCCCCACAGGUAUUGAUUUUGAGCCAUCCUGCUGUGGGUGCGUUUAUGACGCAUUGUGGGUGGAAUUCUAUUGUGGAGGCGGUUAGUGCGGGGAUUCCGAUGAUUACGUGGCCGGUGCAUGGUGAACAAUUUUACAAUGAGAAGUUGAUAACGCAGGUGCGGGGGAUUGGGGUGGAGGUGGGUGCAGGGGAGUGGAGCAAUAGUGGUUAUGGGGAGAGAGAGAAGUUGGUCAGUGGGGAGAGUAUAGAGAAGGCUCUGAGGAGAUUAAUGGACGGUGGUGAUGAUGCGCAGGAAAUCAGACGGCGUGCGCGAGAGUUUGGUGAUAAGGCAAAAGAGGCGGCUCAGGAAGGUGGUUCAUCUUACAAAAAUUUAACGGUCUUGAUUGAUGAUCUAAAACGAUUGAGGGAUUGCAACUUGCAAGCUUCAAAAUGCUAAUACGGGCAAAAAGCCGAGGCCAUACAAACAAAAAACAGGAAAAUAAACUAGGGGGCAACAGCCCCAGGAAAAUCAGCACAUGGAAGCUCUACUAAUAAUGGUGAUGCCAAAGUCUAGCGACACAUAGUUAAACUUAACCACCCCAGUCCUUAUGCAGCCAAGCUUAAGGAGUGAAAGCAAAGACUCUGUAAAGACCACAUCCACCUCCACCACAUAAGGAGCUAUGUGAAAUCAAGUGUUCACCCCAUAGUUCUUCAUAUACCAUAACAGACCCAAUUUUAACCUCUUAUCUAAAAUGUCUCUCUUGUUUGCAUA
Molecule: non-coding RNA, 1909 nt
Organism: Cicer arietinum (chickpea)
Lineage: Eukaryota; Viridiplantae; Streptophyta; Magnoliopsida; Fabales; Fabaceae
Source: RefSeq, a predicted model, not a curated record